This 1344-nucleotide long non-coding RNA is filed under the name Anas platyrhynchos platyrhynchos (common mallard). RNAcentral's name for it is "lncRNA (ENSAPLG00000028168.1)". Lineage: Eukaryota; Metazoa; Chordata; Aves; Anseriformes; Anatidae. The record is from RNAcentral.
AAGACAAAUGUCUUCUGAUUGGUAUGGUGUUUUUUCUUCAUAGAGAUUCAUAACAAAGGCUCUUGAAUAAGUUACUCUGACAUACAUAAGACACAAAACUAAGAAUAAGGUUAAAUAACCAGGUUUUACAAUGAGAAUAAAUUAGCAGUGGACACCUCCUUAGAAUCUGAGGCAGAAUUUUUGGUGUUUGAUGCAGUGAUAACCAUAUGGAAAAGGGGUGAAUUGUGAAAGGACAUGAUUUUGAGGUGAUAAAGUAUUAUGCAAGCUAGACAAAUAUAAAGCUGACUGAGAAGAAAUCCAGAGAGAUCUCAAAGUACUGAAAGACUUUUCAAUAAAAACAACCAAAUUAAAUUUGACAAGUAUAAUACCAUGCAUGUAAGGUAAAAAUACCCUAAUUAGAGAUACAUAACAGGUGGUUCAUACUGUGAUAUCCAUUAUCUUUCAGGAAGAAGUCUGGAACUACUAAUGGUGAAAAAGCAAGAGAUAAAAAGAUUUGAAAUUACAAGGAAAAUGAAGAGAAAAAUAAUUCUCAUUAUGUUACUAUAUCAGCUUCUCUCAAUCCUCCUUUUGAAUGCUUGAUACAGUUCUAGUUAGAUAUUUUCAAAAGAAAUGAUAUAGAAUAAUAAUAUUAAAAAACUACAAAGAAGAGUCAGUUUUUCAGAUGAACAACAGCUUCAGUACAAUGGAGAUGAAAACAGACCAAGACUUUCCAAGCUUAGAGAAGAGAUGGUGGAGAAGGAUGUGUGAUAGGCUUUACAAGUCUUCAGAGGACUAUUUCUUAGGUGUACCAUCUGAAGGACCCAAGUAUAGAGGACAGAAGUAGCUGUUCAGGCAGGCUGAAGAGAACAGGUUCAGGUAAGCAAGAAAGAAAGGGAGAAUGAACCAGCCUUACUGAGAACAAAACUAAUGAACCAUGGUUUCCUGCAGAUGUUUUGAGUAUCCCUUUACCUUUCUUGCAGUAACAAACCCGAAUCUUAAAUCUACAUAAUCUUUGCAACAUCACUUCCACUGCAGUACCAGAAGCCUUUUUGUUUCUCCUGUUUACCAGCUCACUCCAGUGCCUUGUACUGCCGUCUGGGUAGGAAGGACUCACCUAAAUCACGUGGCUCCAGACCAUUAACAUGGCAAUCAGACAGCUCAAUCUGAGGGUCAGCAAUGACUGGCCAGCUAACAGGCAAAGCAAAGAAGGUCACUUACUGCAACUGCUCUUUCAAUGCUCGAUUAACUAUAGCUCUCUCCUGUCCAGCUGGUGAUUUUUGUAAGAUGUAAAACUUAAUUAAGAGACCCCCACACCCUUGUAACUAAAGUUGGCCAAUUGACAAAAUUAUUUGCACAGUACUGGUA